GUACUCCCCAGGCGGUGUGUUUAUCGGUUUCCCUGCGACACUGAAAAUAAAUUUCCAACGUCUAACACACAUCGUUUACGGCAUGGACUACGAGGGUAUCUAAUCCUCUUCGCUACCCAUGCUUUCGUUCCUCAGUGUCAGUAAUGAUCCAGAAAGCUGCCUUCGCAAUUGGUAUUCUUUCUAAUAUCUACGAAUUUCACCUCUACACUAGAAAUUCUGCUUUCCUCUAUCAUACUCUAGCUGAAAAGUUUUGAUGGCAGUUCCAGAGUUAAGCUCUGGGAUUUCACCACCAACUUUUUCAACCACCUACGAACUCUUUAAGCCCAGUAAUUCCGAACUACGCUAGGUCCCUUCGUAUUACCGCGGCUGCUGGCACGAAGUUAGCCGGACCUUCUUAUUCGGGUACAGUCAUUUUCUUCCCCGACGAAAGAGCUUUACAACCCAAAGGCCUUCUUCACUCACGCGGCAUCGCUGCAUCAGAGUUUCCUCCAUUGUGCAAGAUUCCCCACUGUUGCCUCCCGUAGGAGUUUGGGCCGUGUCUCAGUCCCAAUGUGGCUGAUCAUCCUCUCAAAUCAGCUAUUGAUCAUAGUCUUGGUAGGCCAUUACCCUACCAACAAACUAAUCAAGUGCGGGCUCAUCCAAUGGUGCAUAAAGCUUUCUCCGUAAAGACUUAUCCGGUAUUAGCACAAGUUUCCUCGUGUUAUUCCAGGCCAAAGGGUAGAUACCCACAUGUUACUCACCCGUCUGCCACUAAGUAUUGCUACUUCGUUCGACUUGCACGUGUUAGGCGUGCCGCCAGCGUACGUUCUGAGCCAGGAUCAAACUCU
RNAcentral lists this ribosomal RNA (827 nucleotides) under uncultured bacterium. RNAcentral's name for it is "partial 16S ribosomal RNA". The record is from RNAcentral.